CUCAUUCAAUGUUAUGGGAGCUGUUGGGUGUGUGUGUUGUCUUCCUUGUCCUCUGUGUCUGUCCAUGUUGCUGGAGCGGCUGAAAGUAGGUCAAGGGGCGUGGCCGGGUGAUCCACCUACCUGCACAGCUGCUGGCUAUCCUGCAAUCUCUUUCUGCCCAGCUGUUGCUGAUCCUCUCAUCACUGCUGCAGUAUUUAGACCUGGUUGGAACCUGUCUUCGGCGCCAGAUUGUUACAGCUACCAAAGUGACCUACACCACUCGGCCUGUGUCUACGACCGCUGUGCCGCCAGCCUUUCGCUCCUCAACUUUUCAUCUCCUCGUUUGGAUCCCUGUGAGAAUUGUUUUUGGACAUGCCACGCUCUGCCCACGCCGCUCCAGUCCUGUCUCCUCCACCAGCGCAGCUGACUGUCUCAGGCUGCUGAGUCUUUGUUUGUGCCAUUCAUUAAAGACAUUCUAAACGUU
Long non-coding RNA from Perca fluviatilis (European perch), 463 nucleotides. RefSeq lists it as uncharacterized. The transcript is spliced from 2 exons. The record is from RefSeq and is a predicted model, not a curated record. NCBI's taxonomy places the organism in Eukaryota, Metazoa, Chordata, Actinopteri, Perciformes, Percidae.